RNAcentral lists this ribosomal RNA (468 nucleotides) under uncultured bacterium. RNAcentral's name for it is "partial 16S ribosomal RNA". It matches the Rfam family "Bacterial small subunit ribosomal RNA", at positions 28 to 507 of the family's 1533-position model. The record is from RNAcentral.
GACGAACGCUGGCGGCGUGCUUAACACAUGCAAGUCGAACGGAAAGGCCCUGCUUUUGUGGGGUGCUCGAGUGGCGAACGGGUGAGUAACACGUGAGUAACCUGCCCUUGACUUUGGGAUAACUUCAGGAAACUGGGGCUAAUACCGGAUAGGAGCUCCUGCUGCAUGGUGGGGGUUGGAAAGUUUCGGCGGUUGGGGAUGGACUCGCGGCUUAUCAGCUUGUUGGUGGGGUAGUGGCUUACCAAGGCUUUGACGGGUAGCCGGCCUGAGAGGGUGACCGGCCACAUUGGGACUGAGAUCCGGCCCAGACUCCUACGCGCGGCAGCAGUCGAGAAUAUUGCCCAAUGGGCGGAAGCAUGAUGAAGAAAAGUCGCGGGCGGUAUGACGGCCACCGGGUUGUACACCGCUUUCGACUGAGACGUAGCGAGAGUGACGGUAAUGGGUAAAGAAGCCCCGGCUAACUACGUG